AACGAACGCUGGCGGCAUGCCUAACACAUGCAAGUCGAACGAGACCUUCGGGCCUAGUGGCGCACGGGUGCGUAACGCGUGGGAACCUGCCCUUAGGUUCGGUAUAACUCCCCGAAAGGGGUGCUAAUACCGGUUAAUGUCUUCGGACCAAAGAUUUAUCGCCUUUGGAUGGGCCCGCGUUGGUUUAGCUAGUUGGUAGGGUAAAAGCCUGCCAAGGCGACGAUCCAUAGCUGGUCUGAGAGGAUGACCAGCCACACUGGGACUGAGACACGGCCCAGAAUCCUACGGGAGGCAGCAGAGGGGAAUAUUGGACGAGGGGCGAAAGCCUGAUCCAGCAAUGCCGCGUGAGUGAUGAAGGCCUUAGGGUUGUAAAGCUCUUUUACCCGGGAUGAUAAUGACAGUACCGGGAGAAUAAGCUCCGGCUAACUCCGUG
RNAcentral lists this ribosomal RNA (433 nucleotides) under uncultured bacterium. RNAcentral's name for it is "partial 16S ribosomal RNA". It matches the Rfam family "Bacterial small subunit ribosomal RNA", at positions 29 to 507 of the family's 1533-position model. The record is from RNAcentral.